AGGAAUUGGAACAUUAGUGAUAUCGACAUCGACGACGAAAGCAAAGACUGGAGAGACGAAGGAGCUGUAAUACCUGUUAAAGUUCAAGGAGCAUGUGGUAAGCUUACUGUGAUUAUAUACACUAUAAAAAGUCUACACUAAUUACUUGAAAACCGUCGGGAUAUAGUAAACGGUGGAUUGGUCAUUUAAACAAUGUCAUAAUUAGAUUAUAUUCCACAUACAAAAAAAUACAUUAGGCAAAACUUAAUCCCCAAGUUAGGGUUAUUCUAGGUUUAGGGUUAUCAGUUGAUUGUUUCUUAACAAAAUGAAGUAACCAACAUAUAUAUAUAUAUAUACCUGGGCAGGAAGUUGUUGGGCGUUCUCAGCGAUUGGGGCGAUGGAAGGUUUGACAAAGAUAUCUGGCAAAAAUCUAUUAACACUGUCCGAACAGCAGCUUAUAGAUUGCGACACAGAGAAAAACACUGGUUGUGAUGGCGGAGGAAUAGAAGAAGCUUUCAAGUACAUAAUAAAAAACGGAGGGGUUUCUUUAGAAACGGAAUACCCUUACCAAGUGAAAAAGGGGAGCUGUCGUGCCAACGCCAGAUCCGCCACUCAGACACAGAUUAGAGGGUUCGAAAUGG
RNAcentral lists this long non-coding RNA (620 nucleotides) under Arabidopsis lyrata. RNAcentral describes it as "long non-coding RNA (ALYR_LNC003099)". Lineage: Eukaryota; Viridiplantae; Streptophyta; Magnoliopsida; Brassicales; Brassicaceae. The record is from RNAcentral.